RNAcentral lists this ribosomal RNA (520 nucleotides) under uncultured Diversispora. RNAcentral describes it as "SSU rRNA". It matches the Rfam family "Eukaryotic small subunit ribosomal RNA", at positions 569 to 1091 of the family's 1831-position model. Lineage: Eukaryota; Fungi; Glomeromycota; Glomeromycetes; Diversisporales; Diversisporaceae. The record is from RNAcentral.
AGCAGCCGCGGUAAUCCCAGCUCCAAUAGCGUAUAUUAAAGUUGUUGCAGUUAAAAAGCUCGUAGUUGAACUUCGGGGUUUACUCAUUGGUCAGGCUUAAUUGUCUGUACUGGUGAGAUGAAUCUCUACCUUCUGAGGAACUUUCAUGCCAUUUAUUUGGUGUGGUUGGAAAUCAGGACUGUUACUUUGAAAAAUUAGAGUGUUUAAAGCAGGCUAACGUCUGAAUACAUUAGCAUGGAAUAAUGAAAUAGGACGGAUUGAUUCUAUUUCGUUGGUUUCUAGGGUCACCGUAAUGAUUAAUAGGGAUAGUUGGGGGCAUUAGUAUUCAAUUGUCAGAGGUGAAAUUCUUGGAUUUAUUGAAGACUAACUACUGCGAAAGCAUUUGCCAAGGAUGUUUUCAUUAAUCAAGACGAAAGUUAGGGGAUCGAAGACGAUCAGAUACCGUCGUAGUCUUAACCAUAAACUAUGCCGACUAGGGAUCGGACGAAGUUAAUUAAUAAUGACGCGUUCGGCACCUUAC